UUAAGUUCAGCGGGUAGUCCUGACUGAUUUGAGGUCUAAAGCUUAAAGAUUUAGAUGUCGCAUUAGAAGCACCUCUAGUUAGAGAAUGUGACGUCCUCAGCGAAAUAUAUUAUUACGCCGAGUCAAACCGUCUAUUUCUCAGAAAUGGGUAGCUCGUGUAUUUCAGCAGAGUCGACAAUUGCGCCGGCAGCCGCCACAAU
Molecule: unclassified non-coding RNA, 200 nt
Filed under: Rhodotorula sp.
Lineage: Eukaryota; Fungi; Basidiomycota; Microbotryomycetes; Sporidiobolales; Sporidiobolaceae
Description: partial internal transcribed spacer 2
Source: RNAcentral